GACGAACGCUGGCGGCGUGCCUAAUACAUGCAAGUUGAGCGCUGAAGGUUGGUACUUGUACCAACUGGAUGAGCAGCGAACGGGUGAGUAACGCGUGGGGAAUCUGCCUUUGAGCGGGGGACAACAUUUGGAAGCGAAUGCUAAUACCGCAUAAAAACUUUAAACACAAGUUUUAAGUUUGAAAGAUGCAAUUGCAUCACUCAAAGAUGAUCCCGCGUUGUAUUAGCUAGUUGGUGAGGUAAAGGCUCACCAAGGCGAUGAUACAUAGCCGACCUGAGAGGGGGAUCGGCCACAUGGGGAAUGGGACAAGGCCCAAACUCCUACGGGAGGCAGCAGUAGGGAAUCUUCGGCAAUGGACGAAAGUCUGACCGAGCAACGCCGCGGGAGGGAAGAAGGUUUUCGGAUCGGAAAACUCUGUUGGUAGAGAAGAACGUUGGUGAGAGUGGAAAGCUCAUCAAGUGACGGUAACUACCCAGAAAGGGACGGCUAACUACGUG
Molecule: ribosomal RNA, 497 nt
Filed under: uncultured bacterium
Lineage: Bacteria
Description: partial 16S ribosomal RNA
Rfam family: Bacterial small subunit ribosomal RNA
Source: RNAcentral